Suricata suricatta (meerkat) is the source of this 298-nucleotide long non-coding RNA. RefSeq lists it as uncharacterized. NCBI's taxonomy places the organism in Eukaryota, Metazoa, Chordata, Mammalia, Carnivora, Herpestidae. The transcript has 3 exons. The record is from RefSeq and is a predicted model, not a curated record.
GGGCAGGGACCAGCCAUGCUCAUCUCUAUACUUCCAGCACUAAUACAGAGCCUGACAAUUGGCUCAACUGAGCUGACCUUCUGGAGAAGGAUGACAUGGAAAGGACACACAGACAUCCAGAAAUACUAGCUGCCUCAGGGAGAACUCGGUGGCUGGAAAGGAAGGAAGCUUCACUGACACAGGAAAUUUUUAUCAUAUAAUGACUGCAACCACAUAGUGACUCCAAGUGGAACCAGGAGAAGAACUGGCCAGCUUAACUCAGUACAACUGCUGAAACAAAAAAAUCAUGAGGAAAUAA